RNAcentral lists this ribosomal RNA (524 nucleotides) under uncultured bacterium. Its description in RNAcentral is "partial 16S ribosomal RNA". It matches the Rfam family "Bacterial small subunit ribosomal RNA", at positions 28 to 523 of the family's 1533-position model. The record is from RNAcentral.
GACGAACGCUGGCGGCGUGCCUAAUACAUGCAAGUCGAGCGCAGGAAAUCGACGGAACCCUUCGGGGGGAAGUCGACGGAAUGAGCGGCGGACGGGUGAGUAACACGUAAAGAACCUGCCCUCAGGUCUGGGAUAACCACGAGAAAUCGGGGCUAAUACCGGAUGGGUCAUCGGACCGCAUGGUCCGAGGAUGAAAGGCGCUUCGGCGUCGCCUGGGGAUGGCUUUGCGGUGCAUUAGCUAGUUGGUGGGGUAAUGGCCCACCAAGGCGACGAUGCAUAGCCGACCGGAGAGGGGGAUCGGCAACAAUGGGACUGAGACACGGCCCAGACUCCUACGGGAGGCAGCAGUAGGGAAUCUUCCACAAUGGACGAAAGUCUGAUGGAGCAACGCCGCGUGAACGAUGAAGGCCUUCGGGUCGUAAAGUUCUGUUGUAAGGGAAGAACAAGUGCCGCAGGCAAUGGCGGCACCUUGACGGUACCUUGCGAGAAAGCCACGGCUAACUACGUGCCAGCCGCCGCAGUAA